GACGAACGCUGGCGGCGUGCUUAACACAUGCAAGUCGAACGGAAAGGCCCUGCCUUUGUGGGGUGCUCGAGUGGCGAACGGGUGAGUAACACGUGAGUAACCUGCCCUUUACUUUGGGAUAACUUCAGGAAACUGGGGCUAAUACCGGAUAGGAGCUCCUGCUGCAUGGUGGGGGUUGGAAAGUUUCGGCGGUUGGGGAUGGACUCGCGGCUUAUCAGCUUGUUGGUGGGGUAGUGGCUUACCAAGGGUUUGACGGGUAGCCGGCCUGAGAGGGUGACCGGCCACAAGGGGACUGAGAUACGGACCAGACUCCUACGGGAGGCAGCAGUGGGGAAUAUUGCACAAUGGGCGGAAGCCUGAUGCAGCAACGCCGCGUGCGGGAUAACGGCCUUCGGGUUGUAAACCGCUUUCGCCUGUGACGAAGCGUGAGUGACGGUAAUGGGUAAAGAAGCACCGGCUAACUACGUG
RNAcentral lists this ribosomal RNA (468 nucleotides) under uncultured bacterium. Its description in RNAcentral is "partial 16S ribosomal RNA". It matches the Rfam family "Bacterial small subunit ribosomal RNA", at positions 28 to 507 of the family's 1533-position model. The record is from RNAcentral.